AGUUUGAUCAUGGCUCAGGAUGAACGCUGACAGAAUGCUUAACACAUGCAAGUCUAUUUGAAGCACUUUCGGGUGUGGAGGAUGGCGGACGGGUGAGUAACGCGUAAGGAACUUGCCUUUUGGACUGGGACAACUGUUGGAAACGACAGCUAAUACCGGAUAUUAUGAGAUUCUCGCAUGGGAAACUUAUGAAAGCUAUAUGCGCCAAAAGAGAGCCUUGCGUUCCAUUAGCUAGUUGGUGGGGUAAAGGCCUACCAAGGCGACGAUGGAUAGCCGGCCUGAGAGGGUGAACGGCCACAAGGGGACUGAGACACGGCCCUUACUCCUACGGGAGGCAGCAGUGGGGAAUCUUCGGCAAUGGACGAAAGUCUGACCGAGCAACGCCGCGUGAGUGAUGAAGGUUUUCGGAUCGUAAAACUCUGUUGUUAGAGAAGAACAAGAGAAGUAGUAACUGGCUUCUCCUUGACGGUAUCUAACCAGAAAGCCACGGCUAACUACGUGCCAGCAGCCGCGGUAAUACGUAGGUGGCAAGCGUUGUCCGGAUUUAUUGGGCGUAAAGCGAGCGCAGGCGGUCUCUUAAGUCUGAUGUGAAAGCCCACGGCUUAACCGUGGAGGGUCAUUGGAAACUGGGAGACUUGAGUGCAGAAGAGGAAAGUGGAACUCCAUGUGUAGCGGUGGAAUGCGUAGAUAUAUGGAAGAACACCAGUGGCGAAGGCGGCUUUCUGGUCUGUAACUGACGCUGAGGCUCGAAAGCGUGGGGAGCAAACAGGAUUAGAUACCCUGGUAGU
Molecule: ribosomal RNA, 788 nt
Filed under: uncultured bacterium
Lineage: Bacteria
Description: bacterial SSU rRNA
Rfam family: Bacterial small subunit ribosomal RNA
Source: RNAcentral